UGUUACUGCAGGGGUUAAGUGUGGCCAAUAAAAAUUAGAAGGUUUGCUAGGCGACUACGCCGAAGAGGUCAAAGUCGAAGUACUUGGCGGUCUAAAAUCACCUACCCGCGAGACUUGACGGUUAAUCUGAUGAUCCGCAUUUAAUUGUACUUGUUCUUGAGGUUAAUCAGUCGGUGUAUGGUCGUCAGAGGUUUAUGUCGUGAGAUUUGGGUAGUAGGCCAGAGCUUUCGAGCACUGUGUCUUUGGCGCAGGUGUUUUGGGAGUCGAGGUCAGAUCGUUAUGCUGCCUAUGGACAAGGCUUAGUUGAGUCACAUUGAGUAGAUCUGUUGUGGAUCCAAGGAAAUAGGAAGAGCCGGGUGAAAAAGGAGUGGGAAGUAAUAAAAAAUUAAAUACGUUUUUUUGAAUUGAGAACUUUUAGGUGUACAAAUCGCCC
Molecule: ribosomal RNA, 433 nt
Filed under: Arca sp. 3 YF-2011
Lineage: Eukaryota; Metazoa; Mollusca; Bivalvia; Arcoida; Arcidae
Description: partial 12S ribosomal RNA
Rfam family: Microsporidia small subunit ribosomal RNA (bases 50-433)
Source: RNAcentral